Non-coding RNA from Pelobates cultripes (western spadefoot toad), 220 nucleotides. The record is from the annotation of a GenBank genome assembly. Lineage: Eukaryota; Metazoa; Chordata; Amphibia; Anura; Pelobatidae.
GCUCGCUGCACAUCAGGUCCCCAAUGCUCCUUUAUGAGAAGCGAUGCCUGCAUUGUCACUGUAAAAAAAAUAUGGGAGGUUAACUAUAGCAUUAGGGAUUCAGGUUUGUAAUUCAUUCUUUCUUUUCAGUGAAUUAGAUUUUUAUUUUGCAGGUCCUCGGCAACAGAUGUUAUAAGUAAAAGGUGAAACCAAGUGGGCUGCACUCACCUGAACAUGCAUU